AUGAACGCUGGCGGCGUGCCUAAUGCAUGCAAGUCGAACGGAGAGUGUAGCAAUACAUUUUCAGUGGCGAACGGGUGAGUAACGCGUUGGUGACCUGCCCCGAAGUGGGGGAUAACAGUUCGAAAGGACUGCUAAUACCCCAUGUUGUCAUCGAGAUUAGAUGCUUGAUGACCAAAGGAGUAAUCCGCUUUGGGAGGGGCCUGCGUCCCAUCAGCUAGUUGGUAAGGUAACGGCUUACCAAGGCUACGACGGGUAGGGGACCUGAGAGGGUGGCCACCCACAAUGGAACUGAAACACGGUCCAUACACCUACGGGUGGCAGCAGCAGGGAAUAUUGGUAAUCUGCGAAAGCGGGAACCAGCAACGCCGCGUGUGCGAUGAAGGCCUUCGGGUCGUAAAGCACUUUUCGAGGGGAUGAGGAAGGACAGUACCCUCGGAAUAAGUCUCGGCUAACUACGU
Molecule: ribosomal RNA, 458 nt
Filed under: uncultured bacterium
Lineage: Bacteria
Description: bacterial SSU rRNA
Rfam family: Bacterial small subunit ribosomal RNA
Source: RNAcentral